UUUUUUGUUGGGUUUUAGAGUUGUUGAAUUCAGUUAAAUAUUUGAUUGAAAUGGCGGUGGCUACAUGCUUGAGGCCCAUAGCCCGAAGAAACAAAGCUUAUAGAGGACAGAUAAAAGCUCAGAUUUUUGAGAGCUUGGCUGUGGCCCUUGUUGCUAUUGCCUCUAAAGCUGGGGAAGCUCUCACUAAAGUCAAACUCGAAGCUGGCGGCGGCGCUGGUGGCGGAGGCGGCGGCGGAGCUGGUGGUGGAGGGGACAAUGAGAAGGCUGGUAGCGGCAGCGACUAAGACAGCACCACCUCUUGGGCUGCAAGCCCGGUGGUGGAGAGGUGGUGCUAAAGUGUGUGUGUGCGUGUAAGUGUGACCCCACAGUCUGAUGUUUAUAUAGUGUGAUGGUGCCCUUUUUUCAGUGUAAGAUAUUCAUGUGUGCAUAAAUAAAUGAAAGGGCAGAUGAGUGUGGGGUAGAAUGUAGAUGUUCUUCUUUCUGUGUGAUUUUAAAUGUCAGAUGUGAGUAGGGUUUGUCUUGUAUGAUAUUUUUCAGCUCUAUUUGGCCAUGUGCUAUGUAAAAUAUUUUGUUGGGUGAAUCACAAAAUUUCAUUUCUCUACAUUUCGUCUGAUCGAACCUCUCUCUCACAGUUUUUAUGCUUUAUUUUCUCU
RNAcentral lists this long non-coding RNA (653 nucleotides) under Daucus carota (carrot). RNAcentral's name for it is "long non-coding RNA (DCAR_LNC001273)". The record is from RNAcentral. Lineage: Eukaryota; Viridiplantae; Streptophyta; Magnoliopsida; Apiales; Apiaceae.